GAGUUGGCAUUUGGUGCUCUGGAGAAAGCACAGAGAUGAGAGAAGCAGAAUAAGGACCUCAAAAGGCAGUUUUGCUGGAGAUGCUGUCCAUGAGAUGGCAUCAUCUUGUCCAAAGACUCUGGGAACUGACCUGUCCUUGAGGUUGAGGGUAUGCAGUGAGGUUGUGAGGCUGCCUGGGGAUUCCUGGUGACACUCCCACGGAGUCUGAAAAUCCUGAGGGUAGUGAGAAGAUGGAAGUAAGUCAGGAGCAGAAGGAAACCUGUUCCAGAGUUCAUGCUGUGACAGCCUGCAAACAUCCAUUGUAGGAAAUCCCAAGAUGUUUGGGCUGUCCAUGAGGCUGGACAGCCACCAAAGCAUCAGAGGGGUGCAGUAAUAAACCACAGGAGCUGGCACA
This 394-nucleotide long non-coding RNA is filed under the name Cyanistes caeruleus (blue tit). Its description in RNAcentral is "lncRNA (ENSCCEG00000000687.1)". Lineage: Eukaryota; Metazoa; Chordata; Aves; Passeriformes; Paridae. The record is from RNAcentral.